This 429-nucleotide ribosomal RNA is filed under the name uncultured bacterium. RNAcentral describes it as "bacterial SSU rRNA". It matches the Rfam family "Bacterial small subunit ribosomal RNA", at positions 355 to 776 of the family's 1533-position model. The record is from RNAcentral.
UCGAGAAUCUUUCGCAAUGGGCGCAAGCCUGACGAAGCGACGCCGUGUGAGCGAAGAAGGCCUUCGGGUUGUAAAGCUCUUUCGCUAGGGAACAAGAGAGGUAGGAUAACACCCUGCUAAUUUGAUGGUACUUGGUAAAGAAGCACCGGCUAACUCCGUGCCAGCAGCUGCGGUAAUACGGAGGGUGCAAGCAUUGAUCGGAAUUACCGGGCGUAAAGGGCGCGUAGGCGGCUUGAAAAGUCGAGUGUGAAAUUCCAGGGCUCAACCCUGGAGCUGCAUUCGAAACUUUCGAGCUAGAGAGUAGUUAGGGUAAACGGAAUUCCACGUGUAGCGGUGAAAUGCGUAGAUAUGUGGAAGAACACCAGUGGUGUAGACGGUUUACUGGGCUAUAUCUGACGCUGAGGCGCGAAAGCAUGGGGAGCAAACAGG